This is a non-coding RNA of Nicotiana tabacum (common tobacco), 607 nucleotides long. The record is from RefSeq and is a predicted model, not a curated record. Lineage: Eukaryota; Viridiplantae; Streptophyta; Magnoliopsida; Solanales; Solanaceae.
GAUAUUGUUGCCCUAAUCCUCUCUAUAAAGGCCCUCUUUCCAAUCAUCGGGGACAAAGAAAAAAGGGUGAAAAAACACAAAUGGCUGAAAUCAGCUCUUUUCCAAAAAAUUCUGAAGAAAUUUUUUGAGUUCUGCCUGUUUUGUGGAGUCAUUUGCUGGAGUUAUUCUAACGCUGAAACAAAAUUUUGGUUUUGUGGAUUCACUGAUGUUCGAUUUGACCUGUGCUGCUGUAGACUUCUUUCUUUCUUUGAUCUGGUUGUUCCAUUUUCUUUUCUAGAUGCUAAGGAUGUGGUGUCAUGGUUAAUAAAUAGCCAUUGGAACCAGUUGAAGUCCAUUUGGUAUAAGUUCAAAUACAAAAGUUGGCAUCUUGAGUUGGUAAUUGCAUAGAUGGCAGUGUUCUUCGCAUCAUCAGUUAGUUUCAAUUUAUUAGGGCAUGUAAAUUUAUAAUUCCCCUUUGAUUCAACCUUCAUUAAGUCAUGGCAGUGUUGCAUAAUUUUGGUUCAAAUUGGGAUAUAAUUCAUGUAUUAUGGAAGUUUGGGUAAUUUGAAGUUUCGGAACUGUUUCCUUUUGAAGCAAAAAUUGAUAAUUUUCCAUUGUUUAAUUCUUA